Molecule: non-coding RNA, 386 nt
Organism: Pelobates cultripes (western spadefoot toad)
Lineage: Eukaryota; Metazoa; Chordata; Amphibia; Anura; Pelobatidae
Source: the annotation of a GenBank genome assembly
GUUACUCUGCAGUUUUCUACCUGGAUUUAAGAGCUUUCAGCUCAACUUCUCUUUUGUCCAGCUGACUUAAAAGCUGUACUUUAUCUCUGUCAGCUGCUUUUUUCUUGGAGCGUAGCGGAUCUAAUUUAGCUUCCGUUUUUGCAGUCGGUGGUCAUUUUUAACUGUAGUUUUUCCAGCUCUGUGUGCAACACACAUUUCUCCAAAGCUCCAUUUUUCUUUCUAUUGCCAGCAGUUUUGCAAGUCUCUGAAGUCUUUGUUCCAUUAGAAAAAUCUAGAUCAGGCUUGAGUAUUGAAGCUAUCAUUAUGGAGUCUGGUCGAUGCAAACAAAAGUGGGAGCAGAAUUCCCUGCCACAGUGUUCUCCAGCUUUGCCACUUUUACUCGUUAC